Molecule: ribosomal RNA, 588 nt
Filed under: uncultured bacterium
Lineage: Bacteria
Description: bacterial SSU rRNA
Rfam family: Bacterial small subunit ribosomal RNA
Source: RNAcentral
CCUACGGGAGGCAGCAGUAGGGAAUCUUCCGCAAUGGACGAAAGUCUGACGGAGCAACGCCGCGUGAACGAUGAAGGCCUUCGGGUCGUAAAGUUCUGUUGUUAGGGAAGAACAAGUGCUAGUUGAAUAAGCUGGCACCUUGACGGUACCUAACCAGAAAGCCACGGCUAACUACGUGCCAGCAGCCGCGGUAAUACGUAGGUGGCAAGCGUUGUCCGGAAUUAUUGGGCGUAAAGCGCGCGCAGGCGGUUUCUUAAGUCUGAUGUGAAAGCCCCCGGCUCAACCGGGGAGGGUCAUUGGAAACUGGGAAACUUGAGUGCAGAAGAGGAAAGUGGAAUUCCAAGUGUAGCGGUGAAAUGCGUAGAGAUUUGGAGGAACACCAGUGGCGAAGGCGACUUUCUGGUCUGUAACUGACGCUGAGGCGCGAAAGCGUGGGGAGCAAACAGGAUUAGAUACCCUGGUAGUCCACGCUGUAAACGAUGAGUGCUAAGUGUUAGAGGGUUUCCGCCCUUUAGUGCUGAAGUUAACGCAUUAAGCACUCCGCCUGGGGAGUACGGUCGCAAGACUGAAACUCAAAUGAAUUGACGG